This 301-nucleotide ribosomal RNA is filed under the name uncultured bacterium. RNAcentral describes it as "partial 16S ribosomal RNA". It matches the Rfam family "Bacterial small subunit ribosomal RNA", at positions 509 to 807 of the family's 1533-position model. The record is from RNAcentral.
CAGUAGCCGCGGUAAUACAGAGGGUGCGAGCGUUAAUCGGAUUUACUGGGCGUAAAGCGUGCGCAGGCGGUUAUAUAAGACAGAUGUGAAAUCCCCGGGCUCAACCUGGGAACUGCAUUUGUGACUGUAUAGCUAGAGUACGGCAGAGGGGGAUGGAAUUCCGCGUGUAGCAGUGAAAUGCGUAGAUAUGCGGAGGAACACCGAUGGCGAAGGCAAUCCCCUGGGCCUGUACUGACGCUUAUGCACGAAAGCGUGGGGAGCAAACAGGAUUAGAUACCCCUGUAGUCCCUGUCUCUUAUAC